RNAcentral lists this ribosomal RNA (253 nucleotides) under uncultured bacterium. Its description in RNAcentral is "partial 16S ribosomal RNA". It matches the Rfam family "Bacterial small subunit ribosomal RNA", at positions 524 to 776 of the family's 1533-position model. The record is from RNAcentral.
UACGUAGGGUGCGAGCGUUACUCGGAAUUACUGGGCGUAAAGCGUGCGCAGGCGGUUGGGCAAGACCGAUGUGAAAUCCCCGGGCUUAACCUGGGAACUGCAUUGGUGACUGGACGGCUAGAGUGUGUCAGAGGGGGGUAGAAUUCCACGUGUAGCAGUGAAAUGCGUAGAGAUGUGGAGGAAUACCGAUGGCGAAGGCAGCCCCCUGGGAUAACACUGACGCUCAUGCACGAAAGCGUGGGGAGCAAACAGG